RNAcentral lists this long non-coding RNA (586 nucleotides) under Cicer arietinum (chickpea). RNAcentral describes it as "long non-coding RNA (CARI_LNC001579)". Lineage: Eukaryota; Viridiplantae; Streptophyta; Magnoliopsida; Fabales; Fabaceae. The record is from RNAcentral.
AACCAAACCAAACCUAUUUAAAACACGUAUGCCAAGGAUAGAAAAAAAAAAAAAACAUAAUAUAGUCCAAAAUUUUCAUACCAAAAUCUCUACCAUAGUCCGACAUCAAACCCCAGAAAAAAUAAAUGAGACACAAAAUUAUAACUAGCAAUAAUUUCCUUUCAAAACUAAAGGAACAUAUGCACUACACAAUAAUUCCCAAGCAUCUAAGAGAUAAUUCCCAAGCAUCUAAGAGGAUUGAUCCACAAUUGAUGAAGUUUCACAUUGAAGCCUUUAACUUGAUGUUUAAGUUGACAUCAUGAUAAAAAAAUUGACAUGAUCUACCAGGCUACUCAAAACACAUCCUUGAUGCUUAAAUAGUGUAAUUAACGUCUUGCAUGACAAAUAGAACUUACACAAGCCAACCAUACCGUAAUAAGCACGCCACAAAUCACUUUUCUGUCCAAAUGGAAAUCGAAAAAUUAAAUGAGCAUGUUGAGGGAUCUAAUUAGGAAGGGCUGCACAAAUACCAAUCACAAACUAGAUCACAUCCUCCUAAUUACAAGUAGAGGAUACUCUAUCUAAUAAUAAGUGAGAAGAAUAUUCC